RNAcentral lists this ribosomal RNA (429 nucleotides) under Chloroflexota bacterium. RNAcentral's name for it is "Chloroflexi bacterium partial 16S ribosomal RNA". It matches the Rfam family "Bacterial small subunit ribosomal RNA", at positions 355 to 776 of the family's 1533-position model. The record is from RNAcentral. Lineage: Bacteria; Bacillati; Chloroflexota.
UGGGGAAUAUUGCACAAUGGGCGCAAGCCUGAUGCAGCCAUGCCGCGUGUGUGAAGAAGGCCUUCGGGUUGUAAAGCACUUUCAGCGGGGAGGAAGGCGUUAAGGUUAAUAACCUUGGCGAUUGACGUUACCCGCAGAAGAAGCACCGGCUAACUCCGUGCCAGCAGCCGCGGUAAUACGGAGGGUGCAAGCGUUAAUCGGAAUUACUGGGCGUAAAGCGCACGCAGGCGGUUUGUUAAGUCAGAUGUGAAAUCCCCGGGCUCAACCUGGGAACUGCAUCUGAUACUGGCAAGCUUGAGUCUCGUAGAGGGGGGUAGAAUUCCAGGUGUAGCGGUGAAGUGCGUAGAGAUCUGGAGGAAUACCGGUGGCGAAGGCGGCCCCCUGGACGAAGACUGACGCUCAGGUGCGAAAGCGUGGGGAGCAAACAGG